This 451-nucleotide ribosomal RNA is filed under the name uncultured bacterium. RNAcentral describes it as "partial 16S ribosomal RNA". It matches the Rfam family "Bacterial small subunit ribosomal RNA", at positions 354 to 796 of the family's 1533-position model. The record is from RNAcentral.
GUGGGGAAUAUUGGACAAUGGGGGGAACCCUGAUCCAGCCAUGCCGCGUGUGUGAAGAAGGCCUUUUGGUUGUAAAGCACUUUAAGCGAGGAGGAGGCUACCGAGAUUAAUACUCUUGGAUAGUGGACGUUACUCGCAGAAUAAGCACCGGCUAACUCUGUGCCAGCAGCCGCGGUAAUACAGAGGGUGCAAGCGUUAAUCGGAUUUACUGGGCGUAAAGCGCGCGUAGGUGGCCAAUUAAGUCAAAUGUGAAAUCCCCGGGCUUAACUUGGGAAUUGCAUUCGAUACUGGUUGGCUAGAGUAUGGGAGAGGAUGGUAGAAUUCCAGGUGUAGCGGUGAAAUGCGUAGAGAUCUGGAGGAAUACCGAUGGCGAAGGCAGCCAUCUGGCCUAAUACUGACACUGAGGUGCGAAAGCAUGGGGAGCAAACAGGAUUAGAAACCCGAGUAGUCC